Molecule: long non-coding RNA, 1638 nt
Filed under: Brassica napus (rape)
Lineage: Eukaryota; Viridiplantae; Streptophyta; Magnoliopsida; Brassicales; Brassicaceae
Description: long non-coding RNA (BNAP_LNC026101)
Source: RNAcentral
UUGCGGCUCAGGAAGCGUUUGAGGCGAAGCAGGCGAGCAUGUUUGUGGCGUUGGAUAAGCUGUUUGCUUUGCACAAUGCGAUGCUUGUUGAGUCUAGGGUGAUCAAAGCUUUCUUCAUCUACUUCUUGUCGAUCUUUGUUAUCUACAUGUUUACGAGUACGAAGCAAACUUACAUCAUAAGGCCAAGGCUUUACAUUGGUAAGUACCAUACUCCAUCUCUCUUAUAAAGUUAUUAAUACAUUAGUUUCUUAACAGAACUUUUUCAUUUUACUGAUGCAGGUUUGUGCGUUACCUUAGCAUUAGAAGUGGCAAGUUUGCGUUACGUGAAUGAUGCAGAACACAGAGCAUGGAUUAUAAACGUUCUCAGGUCUAUAUUCGCUGCUCUUGCUUCAGCUCAGCUUCUUCAUGCUGCUUUUACAUACAGGUAAGUCUCAAAUGCUCUUUUUGAAACAAACCAGAAACAUAGAAGCUGAUUUUUAUACUAACUGACUGAAAACGCAGGGAUUAUGAAGUACUAAACCACGAUAUACUCUUAAGACUAGUAGAUAAGGUUAACAGCAUGCAAAGCAAGAGAGAUCUCUCGUGGGAUGAAGAUAGUGAGAGCGAGGUUGAUUGGAAUACAUGGAUUGAUAAAGAUAUAAUUGAUGACGGUGACAGUCUCAGAGAUCCUGAUUACAAGAUUCCAGAACAGAUCAUGGAUAGUUCGGUGUUCACCUCAUCAUCAAGAUUGUACAAUCUCCGUGCUCGAUAAAGCCAGCAAUCAAGUCAAAGCAUUCAUCACAUAUGAUGUAAUGUCUAGGGAGAGUUUCAACAUCGUCAACACAAUGGCGAGUACACAGCCACUGGAUCCAAACUGUAAUUUUAUGCUACUUCAUAAUCUUAGCCAGUAGAAGGCGUUUAUUCCAGAACCUCAUUCUUUGUUUUUUGAAUAAAAUGAGGUUUUAAGCUUAAAAGGAGUUCUUAGGGUGAGGGUUCUCAGCGGCCUAAACACCCCCCCCCCCCCCCCCACACCACCCUCCUNNNNNNNNNNNNNNNNNNNNNNNNNNNNNNCCCCCCCCCCCCCAAUAAUCACUGUUCUAAGCUUUUGUUUUCUAGUUGAGUUAACGAUAUUUAAUUCAAAACGUUCCCUCUUGCAUAUUUAUCAUCAAAUGGAUUGCACAAGCCCUAAUUUUGUAGUAAUCACCCAAGAAAUUGAACAAUCUAAUUUCAUCUGAAUACAUCAAAACACUCUAGAAGAAUGCAUAUAUCAGGCGAGAGAGUGAAAUUAAAAAUCACAAAUCCUAAUGGGAUGUAUAUCAGGCGUGCUUGAAGAGCUUCAUGCUUAGCCAAUGAAAGUAGACGGCAACCGUUAUAACUGGUAUAGUCAAGGGGACCAAGAAGCAGUAGUAGUACCUUUCAUUCUUCAGACCUUGGUUUAACGGAUUUUGAGAGAGCGGAAACAAAGUCGAAGCGAUGAUUGCGAAGACGAAUCCGAAGAAGAAGACGGAACCAAUUGUCACGAAGAAGUGUCCCCAGAAUAACUCUCCCGUCGUCGUCGUUGUUCGCGGAAGCUUCAUCGGAGGAUCUGGAGUAAUCCGUCGUGAUUCAGAUGUAAUCAGUCUGUUUCCUUUUUUCCCGUUCACAAAAACGUGUUUAAGC